Molecule: ribosomal RNA, 196 nt
Filed under: uncultured bacterium
Lineage: Bacteria
Description: partial 16S ribosomal RNA
Rfam family: Bacterial small subunit ribosomal RNA
Source: RNAcentral
CCUACGGGAGGCAGCAGUGGGGAAUAUUGCGCAAUGGCCGAAAGGCUGACGCAGCGACGCCGUGUGUGGGAGGAAGCCCUUCGGGGUGUAAACCACUGUCAGGGGGGAAGAAACCAGAUCGGACGAAUAGGCCGAUCUGUUGACGGUACCUCCAAAGGAAGCGCCGGCUAACUCCGUGCCAGCAGCCGCGGGUAAU